RNAcentral lists this small nucleolar RNA (132 nucleotides) under Hucho hucho (huchen). RNAcentral describes it as "Small nucleolar RNA SNORA8 (ENSHHUG00000028610.1)". It matches the Rfam family "Small nucleolar RNA SNORA8". From Rfam's summary of the family: ACA8 is a member of the H/ACA class of snoRNA that guide the sites of modification of uridines to pseudouridines. The record is from Rfam by way of RNAcentral. Lineage: Eukaryota; Metazoa; Chordata; Actinopteri; Salmoniformes; Salmonidae.
AGCACUGUAUGGUAUCUGCUGCUACUGCAUUUGGACUGUUCAUUAGUCUGUGCAAGAGCAACUCGGCAUUUGGCAUUAUUGGUCUCCUUGCCUCGUUGUGCCUGGAGUCUUGGUAUAUCUGUCGAUACAAAC